RNAcentral lists this ribosomal RNA (531 nucleotides) under Colletotrichum gloeosporioides. RNAcentral's name for it is "eukaryotic LSU rRNA". The stretch from base 184 to 337 matches the Rfam family "5.8S ribosomal RNA". The record is from RNAcentral. Lineage: Eukaryota; Fungi; Ascomycota; Sordariomycetes; Glomerellales; Glomerellaceae.
AGGGAUCAUUACUGAGUUUACGCUCUACAACCCUUUGUGAACAUACCUAUAACUGUUGCUUCGGCGGGUAGGGUCUCCGUGACCCUCCCGGCCUCCCGCCCCCGGGCGGGUCGGCGCCCGCCGGAGGAUAACCAAACUCUGAUUUAACGACGUUUCUUCUGAGUGGUACAAGCGAAUAAUCAAAACUUUUGACAACGGAUCUCUUGGUUCUGGCAUCGAUGAAGAACGCAGCGAAAUGCGAUAAGUAAUGUGAAUUGCAGAAUUCAGUGAAUCAUCGAAUCUUUGAACGCACAUUGCGCCCGCCAGCAUUCUGGCGGGCAUGCCUGUUCGAGCGUCAUUUCAACCCUCAAGCUCUGCUUGGUGUUGGGGCCCUACAGCUGAUGUAGGCCCUCAAAGGUAGUGGCGGACCCUCCCGGAGCCUCCUUUGCGUAGUAACUUUACGUCUCGCACUGGGAUCCGGAGGGACUCUUGCCGUAAAACCCCCCAAUUUUCCAAAGGUUGACCUCGGAUCAGGUAGGAAUACCCGCUGAA